AUGGAUUGAUGCACAGAGAUAGGAACGGUGGAUUCUUUGACAUGGUUCAUUUGUAACCUUUCUUGAAACUGAGCCCUGAGAAAUCCAUGCCUCAGCCUUCUCGUAGGGGCCGCAGUGGCACAGUGGGUUAAACAACUGAGCUGCUGAACUUGCUGACUGGAAGGUUGGUGGUUCGAAUCCACGGGACAGGGUGAGCUCCCGUUGUUAGCUUCAGCUUCUGCCAAACCAGCAGUUCGGAAACAUGCAAAUGGACUGAUUUCCUUGUCUAGCGGCCAGCACAAAUUAAAACAUAAAAGAUGAAAUUUAAGAUUCAAAUAGCUAUUACGGGAAUUGGAUGCAAUUUUCCAGGAGGGACUAAUUUCCUUGUCUAGCAGCCACCACAGAUUAAAACAUAAAAGAUGACAUUGACAAUUCAAGUAGCUAUUGCGGGAAUGGGAUGUAA
This is a long non-coding RNA of Anolis carolinensis (green anole), 442 nucleotides long. RefSeq lists it as uncharacterized. The record is from RefSeq and is a predicted model, not a curated record. NCBI's taxonomy places the organism in Eukaryota, Metazoa, Chordata, Lepidosauria, Squamata, Anolidae. The transcript has 4 exons.